UCGGUGGUGGCGUUUCUGGACCCUUGCCAUGGAGGCGUCUAGCGAGCCUCCGCUGGAUGCUAAGGCCGAGGUUACCACCCAGCUUAUAGAUUUUCAGUGGAAACUGGGUAUGGCUGUGAGCUCGGACAGUUGCAGAUCUCUUAAGUAUCCUUACGUUGCAGUGAUGCUAAAAGUGGCAGAUCAUUCAGGCCACGUAAAGAAGUCCUUUGAAAUGACAAUUCCCCAGUUUCAGAAUUUCUACAGACAGUUCAAAGAAAUUGCUGCGAUUAUUGAAACUGUGUGAAAACUGAUUGCUAUCAUCAUUCUAAAAUCGUGGACUUCACUUUCUUCAACAGAACUGCAUAAGGAUCAAAUGAUAUUUAUUGAAUGAAAAUUGAACUUUUGUUUUUUCAUUUUUUUAAAUAAAAAAUCAGACA
This is a non-coding RNA of Ceratotherium simum simum (southern white rhinoceros), 416 nucleotides long. NCBI's taxonomy places the organism in Eukaryota, Metazoa, Chordata, Mammalia, Perissodactyla, Rhinocerotidae. The record is from RefSeq and is a predicted model, not a curated record.